This 344-nucleotide unclassified non-coding RNA is filed under the name soil metagenome. RNAcentral's name for it is "partial contains 5.8S ribosomal RNA, internal transcribed spacer 2, and large subunit ribosomal RNA". The stretch from base 1 to 119 matches the Rfam family "5.8S ribosomal RNA", at positions 35 to 154 of the family's 154-position model. The record is from RNAcentral.
GAUGAAGAACGUAGCGAAAUGCGAUACGUAAUGUGAAUUGCAGAAUUCAGUGAAUCAUCGAGUCUUUGAACGCACAUUGCGCCCCCUGGUAUUCCGGGGGCAUGCCUGUCCGAGCGUCAUUGCUGCCCUCAAGCACGGCUUGUGUGUUGGGCCUCCGUCCUCCUCCCGGGGGACGGGCCCGAAAGGCAGCGGCGGCACCGCGUCCGGUCCUCGAGCGUAUGGGGCUUCGUCACCCGCUCUUGUAGGCCCGGCCGGCGCUUGCCGACACAUCAAUCUUUUUUCCAGGUUGACCUCGGAUCAGGUAGGGAUACCCGCUGAACUUAAGCAUAUCAAUAAGCGGAGGA